RNAcentral lists this ribosomal RNA (253 nucleotides) under uncultured prokaryote. Its description in RNAcentral is "partial 16S ribosomal RNA". It matches the Rfam family "Bacterial small subunit ribosomal RNA", at positions 525 to 777 of the family's 1533-position model. The record is from RNAcentral.
ACGAAGGGUGCAAGCGUUACUCGGAAUUACUGGGCGUAAAGCGUGCGUAGGUGGUUUGUCGCGUCUGCCGUGAAAGUCCGGGGCUCAACUCCGGAUCUGCGGUGGGUACGGGCAGACUAGAGUGAUGUAGGGGAGACUGGAAUUCCUGGUGUAGCGGUGAAAUGCGUUGAUAUCUAGGGGAACACCAAAAGCGAAGGCAAGAGACUGGACCACUCCUGACGCUGAAACACGAAAGCGUGGGUCGCGAAUGGGA